This 332-nucleotide unclassified non-coding RNA is filed under the name soil metagenome. RNAcentral describes it as "partial contains 5.8S ribosomal RNA, internal transcribed spacer 2, and large subunit ribosomal RNA". The stretch from base 1 to 120 matches the Rfam family "5.8S ribosomal RNA", at positions 35 to 154 of the family's 154-position model. The record is from RNAcentral.
GAUGAAGAACGCAGCAAAAUGCGAUAAGUAAUGUGAAUUGCAGAAUUCAGUGAAACAUCGAAUCUUUGAACGCACAUUGCGCCCGCCAGUAUUCUGGCGGGCAUGCCUGUUCGAGCGUCAUUUCAACCCUCAAGCACAGCUUGGUGUUGGGACUCGCGUUAAUUCGCGUUCCUCAAAUUGAUUGGCGGUCACGUCGAGCUUCCAUAGCGUAGUAGUAAAACCCUCGUUACUGGUAAUCGUCGCGGCCACGCCGUUAAACCCCAACUUCUGAAUGUUGACCUCGGAUCAGGUAGGAAUACCCGCUGAACUUAAGCAUAUCAAUAAGCGGAGGA